UUGCAAAAGGGAAGAAAAAAAAGGAGCAAAGAAGGGUUGGUGCAGCCUGAGCUCCUGUUGCUGUGUGACGUAGUUAGCUGACUCCAGGGUGGAGCACGUGGAGCAUCGCUUGUACUGCCGUGAUGGAUGUGAGCAGCAUGGUCAUAUAUUUAUAUGUGCAGGAGAGUAAAUAGUGCUGAACUCCUUGAUCUCUCAGCUUUGUAACACUGAUUGUCCAACAGCGAUCUCUACUUCCCGGUAUCAGGAAGGAGUUCCUAUCAGGGCUGGACAAAUGAGGAGCUUUCAGUGAACGAUCCUUGGUACU
RNAcentral lists this long non-coding RNA (304 nucleotides) under Cairina moschata (Muscovy duck). RNAcentral's name for it is "domestica (muscovy Duck (domestic type)) lncRNA (ENSCMMG00000003242.1)". Lineage: Eukaryota; Metazoa; Chordata; Aves; Anseriformes; Anatidae. The record is from RNAcentral.